GGGAGUAUUGCCUUGAAAGAAUCCCAGCGGCUUCCCCAAAGUCUCCUCCUUCUAGAAUCAUCUACGGUUCAGGGGCCAGGGGAGAGCAAAGAGAUUCUGAAGUUCUCGUGGCAUAUCCUGUGCCAGCUUCUGAAGACUCGAAGGGUCCCAGCUAGAACACUGAGCAGAACUUCUGGAUGCAGACUGGCUCCAGUGUUCCCCAGGUCAAAAAUGGCCGAAGGUCAGUGAUUCCAUGUGAUGGUACCAGAAUCAGCUAACAAGAAGGAGUGUGGGAGUGUUUUGAAAAUGGCUACAUGUCGUGCUGAUGCGAGAGGCGAGCUAAUUCUACAGGUAGUCACCGAACGUCGCCGAGGUGCUGGUGCUGGGCUGAGUCGGCACGUUAACGCGGACAUCACUCAAUCCUUGCAGCAACCCCAAGGACGGAUGCAAGUAAUCUUCAUUCUGCGGAUAAGGAAACUGAAGCUCGUGUGGCCAAAAUCACGCACUCUAGGACAUUUGCCUGGGAUGUGUAGCAGCCCGGAUUUGAACCCAGGGAGUCUGGCUUCAGAACCCAAGCUCU
Long non-coding RNA from Prionailurus viverrinus (fishing cat), 559 nucleotides. RefSeq lists it as uncharacterized. Lineage: Eukaryota; Metazoa; Chordata; Mammalia; Carnivora; Felidae. The transcript has 3 exons. The record is from RefSeq and is a predicted model, not a curated record.